GAUGAACGCUGGCGGCGUGCCUAAUACAUGCAAGUCGAGCGAACAGACGAGGAGCUUGCUCCUCUGACGUUAGCGGCGGACGGGUGAGUAACACGUGGAUAACCUACCUAUAAGACUGGGAUAACUUCGGCAAACCGGAGCUAAUACCGGAUAAUAUAUUGAACCGCAUGGUUCAAUAGUGAAAGACGGUUUUGCUGUCACUUAUAGAUGGAUCCGCGCCGCAUUAGCUAGUUGGUAAGGUAACGGCUUACCAAGGCGACGAUGCGUAGCCGACCUGAGAGGGUGAUCGGCCACACUGGAACUGAGACACGGUCCAGACUCCUACGGGAGGCAGCAGUAGGGAAUCUUCCGCAAUGGGCGAAAGCCUGACGGAGCAACGCCGCGUGAGUGAUGAAGGUCUUCGGAUCGUAAAACUCUGUUAUUAGGGAAGAACAAAUGUGUAAGUAACUAUGCACGUCUUGACGGUACCUAAUCAGAAAGCCACGGCUAACUACGUG
This 497-nucleotide ribosomal RNA is filed under the name uncultured bacterium. RNAcentral describes it as "partial 16S ribosomal RNA". It matches the Rfam family "Bacterial small subunit ribosomal RNA", at positions 28 to 507 of the family's 1533-position model. The record is from RNAcentral.